GUGAAUCAUCGAAUUUUUGAACGCAAAUUGCACUCUCCGGUUUUCCGGAGGAGUAUGCCUGUUUGAGGGUCAGACUAAAAAAAAUCGACAUAUUUUCUGGGUUAUGGUAACUUUCUUCUGAGAUGGGAUAUCGUAAGUCUCGGUUUAAGGGACUUAAAAAUUUUUUCUACGAUUCUGAGAAAGUAUCAAAUAUUUU
Molecule: unclassified non-coding RNA, 196 nt
Filed under: Glomeromycetes sp.
Lineage: Eukaryota; Fungi; Glomeromycota; Glomeromycetes
Description: partial contains 5.8S ribosomal RNA and internal transcribed spacer 2
Rfam family: 5.8S ribosomal RNA (bases 1-72)
Source: RNAcentral